This 464-nucleotide ribosomal RNA is filed under the name uncultured bacterium. RNAcentral's name for it is "partial 16S ribosomal RNA". It matches the Rfam family "Bacterial small subunit ribosomal RNA", at positions 28 to 506 of the family's 1533-position model. The record is from RNAcentral.
GACGAACGCUGGCGGCGUGCUUAACACAUGCAAGUCGAACGGAAAGGCCCUGCUUGCAGGGUACUCGAGUGGCGAACGGGUGAGUAACACGUGGGUGAUCUGCCCUGCACUUCGGGAUAAGCCUGGGAAACUGGGUCUAAUACCGGAUAGGAGCCAUUUUUCGUGUGAUGGUUGGAAAGUUUUUUCGGUGUAGGAUGAGCUCGCGGCCUAUCAGCUUGUUGGUGGGGUAAUGGCCUAGCAAGGCGGCGACGGGUAGCCGGCCUGAGAGGGUGGCCGGCCACAUUGGGACUGAGAUACGGCCCAGACUCCUACGGGAGGCAGCAGUGGGGAAUAUUGCACAAUGGGCGCAAGCCUGAUGCAGCGACGCCGCGUGGGGGAUGACGGCCUUCGGGUUGUAAACUCCUUUCGCUAGGGACGAAGCUUUUUGGGACGGUACCGAGAUAAGAAGCACCGGCUAACUACGU